Molecule: ribosomal RNA, 814 nt
Filed under: uncultured Bacillota bacterium
Lineage: Bacteria; Bacillati; Bacillota
Description: bacterial SSU rRNA
Rfam family: Bacterial small subunit ribosomal RNA
Source: RNAcentral
GGGGGCAACUCCUUCCAGUCGAGUGGCGGACGGGUGAGUAACACGUGGGUAACCUGCCCGGAAGUGGGGAAUACCUCGGGGAAACUCGAGCUAAUACCGCAUGACAUCUUCGGGACGAAAGUCCUGGUGAUCAAAGCGGGGUCGCAAGAUCUCGCGCUACCGGAUGGGCCCGCGCCCGAUUAGCUAGUUGGUGAGGUAACGGCUCACCAAGGCUUCGAUCGGUAACCGGCCUGAGAGGGCGAUCGGUCACACCGGAACUGAGACACGGUCCGGACUCCUACGGGAGGCAGCAGUGGGGAAUCUUGCGCAAUGGGCGAAAGCCUGACGCAGCAACGCCGCGUGGAGGAUGAGGGCCCUUGGGUUGUAAACUCCUGUCGGCUGGGAAGAAAUCAUGCGGUGCUCAUACCACCGUGUGUUGACUGUACCAGCAAAGGAAGCCCCGGCUAACUCUGUGCCAGCAGCCGCGGUAAUACAGAGGGGGCCAGCGUUAUUCGGAAUUAUUGGGCGUAAAGGGCGCGUAGGCGGCCAUGCGUGUCUUCCGUGAAAUCCCUCGGCUUAACUGAGGACGUGCGGAAGAAACUGCAAGGCUUGAGUCCGGGAGAGGGGGGUGGAAUUCCCAGUGUAGCGGUGAAAUGCGUAGAUAUUGGGAGGAACACCGGUGGCGAAGGCGGCCCCCUGGACCGGUACUGACGCUGAGGCGCGAAAGCGUGGGUAGCAAACGGGAUUAGAUACCCCGGUAGUCCACGCCGUAAACGAUGGGCACUUGGUGUCGCGGGUAUCGACCCCUGCGGUGCCGAAGCUAACGCAUUAAGUG